UCUGUCAUGAUGAUCAGGAAGAUUAUCGUGUAGCAUUAGCAUGUCUACUUUAUUAUUGACAUUUUUGACAGAGGUAGGAUCAGGUAGCUUUGCCUUACCUUUAUCAAGGUAUGCAUCUUCAAGUAGUGCCAGUGAAGAAUUCUAUAAAAACAUUAAGUUAAGGAGUUAUUCCGAUUCAGGAGGAAAAUGAACUCUUGUUCAAAAUAAUAGUAGAAUAGAGCAUAGCGAAAAAAAUAGAAACACAAUCAAAUAGAAUUUCUAAAGUAAAAUCAUGAACAACAUAUUACAGCCAGGGAAAGACAUGACAUGAAUUCAAUAUACAAUAGACAUAACACAGACGUUCUCCUGGAUAAAAGCAGCUGCUAAAUGUAAAUGUAAACGUUCAAACAUAAUGUAACUAUAAAAUGGUAAACAUUUAUAAAAAAAAAGAAAGAUUGGCAUUGCUGCAUUCAUAGGGCGCAUGUCUAAAAAACGACUUUACUUCCCUCAGGAAACACACAGCAAACACGCCCUGAGUAACUGGUAAGUCUAUCAAACCUGCAUCUCCUUGUACAAAAACCGCCAACUAUGUAUGCUAAUGAUAAAAAAGUGACAAGACAGGGUUUACAAUUAGAGAAAAUGGUUAGUAGUAAGUGUUAAAAAAUGUAUGUCCGGACUAAGGAAACAUACUAAGUAGAGUAAUUUACAAUCAACUUACUUCGACAUAUUUCCCAUCCGUCCCCUCAAAUCCUACAUUGGGAGUUUCUAUAAUCAAAUGAAAUUAAAGUGAGAUUACAGAUCUUAAAGCAUCAACAUUGAAGUCCACCUUGUUUGUUUGUUAAUCAUCAUAAGAAAAACACACCUGUAAAUCAUAAAACAAAUGUUGGUUAUUCUUGUUAUGUGUUUUUGUGACUAUUGAGACUAGGAAUCUGAUUCCAUACAUUUCAUUUAGUUAAAUUGACUGAUUAACACAGAACAUAUAAACCAUCAAGUCAUUAUAUUUAAAGGUCCAGUGUGUAAAAUGUUGUAGCAUCUAGGGGUGAGGCUGCAGAUUGCCACCAACUGACCCCUCUCCCUUUCCAUGGACUACAUUGGCCUGUAUUGUGCAAGGUGCCAGUAGGUAAUUUUAAAAUGAUGUCAUCAUCAACCUCAGCAUCUAUCAAGGAGGUUCUUGAUUUAUUAGUAAGUAGUAUAUUUAGUUGUUUACAUCAAAUAUGAUUGUUUGUUGCAAUUUGUUCACACGUCAAUAGAUAAAAUGGGCUUGUACACAUGCCGCAAUU
This is a long non-coding RNA of Gadus macrocephalus (Pacific cod), 1259 nucleotides long. RefSeq lists it as uncharacterized. The record is from RefSeq and is a predicted model, not a curated record. The transcript has 2 exons. Lineage: Eukaryota; Metazoa; Chordata; Actinopteri; Gadiformes; Gadidae.